GACGAACGCUGGCGGCGUGCCUAAUACAUGCAAGUCGAACGAGAGCGACCGGUGCUUGCACUGGUCAAUCUAGUGGCGAACGGGUGAGUAACACGUGGGUAACCUGCCCAUCAGAGGGGGAUAACAUCCGGAAACGGAUGCUAAAACCGCAUAGGUCUUCGAACCGCAUGGUUUGAAGAGGAAAAGAGGCGCAAGCUUCUGCUGAUGGAUGGACCCGCGGUGCAUUAGCUAGUUGGUGAGGUAACGGCUCACCAAGGCCGUGAUGCAUAGCCGACCUGAGAGGGUGAUCGGCCACAUUGGGACUGAGACACGGCCCAAACUCCUACGGGAGGCAGCAGUAGGGAAUCUUCCGCAAUGGACGCAAGUCUGACGGAGCAACGCCGCGUGAGUGAAGAGGGUUUUCGGAUCGUAAAACUCUGUUGUUAGAGAAGAACAAGUGCUAGAGUAACUGUUAGCGCCUUGACGGUAUCUAACCAGAAAGCCACGGCUAACUACGUG
Molecule: ribosomal RNA, 498 nt
Filed under: uncultured bacterium
Lineage: Bacteria
Description: partial 16S ribosomal RNA
Rfam family: Bacterial small subunit ribosomal RNA
Source: RNAcentral